RNAcentral lists this long non-coding RNA (829 nucleotides) under Taeniopygia guttata (zebra finch). Its description in RNAcentral is "lncRNA (ENSTGUG00000026098.1)". Lineage: Eukaryota; Metazoa; Chordata; Aves; Passeriformes; Estrildidae. The record is from RNAcentral.
CGGCUGUGCCCGAGCGGCGGCAGCAGCAGCCGCGCCGGCAGGAGCAGCGCCGGCGGCUUGGCCACAGCGGCGGCACCGGGGCCGCUCGCUCCGCACGCCUCGGUGCCCGGAGCCGCCCUGCCCGGCGCUGCCCGGCGACGGGAGGGCGGAGGUGCUCCUCGGCGGGCGCGGCGGGGAGGGGGCGGUGCCGUGUUGCCGCUGCCGCGGAGCGGAACGGAGCUGCUGCAUCCUCAUCCCCAUCCUCAUCCUCACCUCCCCUCCCUCGGCGCGACCCUGCCGGCUCCCCCCGCCCAGGGGGGCGGGAAGGCAGCGGGCGCUGCCCGCGGUCGCGGCGCGCCCCGAAGUGGCUCCGCACGGCGUUUCCCCCACCCCGCCCGCUGCCGCCGAUAAAUCCCAGCGCCGGGAGCAGCGCGGCACUCGGCGGCUGCCGCGCUGCGGGGAGGCGGCGGAGCUCGGCCCCCUCCCCGCGGCGGACACCCCCAACAGGGGCUACAGGAGCCGCGGCCGCCGGGCUCAGGCACUCAGCCCUCAGGUGUGUUUGUCACCUUCAGCAACAGAUGAAGCAGACAGUGACUCCACCAGCAUGAGUAUGCAAGAAGUCAUCUGCUCUACAACCAGUGCUGCUCCAGCAGAUCGCAAGUGUGUGAAGGUGGUGCAGGGCCCAAACCACCUCCCAGCAGAAAGUGCCUUGGACUCACUGAUGAAGUCCUCAGCAGGACAGGACAAACAGAAUGCCCUGGGCUCUGGAGCAGUAGAGAGAAGACAGUUGGACAAGCAAGGACAGUGGGAGAGUGGCUGGGGAGUAGGCACUGCAGGAGAGUGGACAUGA